AUUGAACGCUGGCGGCAUGCCUUACACAUGCAAGUCGAACGGCAGCACGGGAGCAAUCCUGGUGGCGAGUGGCGAACGGGUGAGUAAUAUAUCGGAACGUGCCCAGUCGUGGGGGAUAACGUAGCGAAAGCUACGCUAAUACCGCAUACGAUCUACGGAUGAAAGCGGGGGAUCGCAGGACCUUGCGCUGAUUGAGCGGCCGAUAUCAGAUUAGCUAGUUGGUGAGGUAAAGGCUCACCAAGGCGACGAUCUGUAGCGGGUCUGAGAGGAUGAUCCGCCACACUGGAACUGAGACACGGUCCAGACUCCUACGGGAGGCAGCAGUGGGGAAUUUUGGACAAUGGGCGCAAGCCUGAUCCAGCCAUGCCGCGUGAGUGAAGAAGGCCUUCGGGUUGUAAAGCUCUUUCAGCCGGGAAGAAAACGCAUGGGUUAAUACCCUGUGUGGAUGACGGUACCGGAAUAAGAAGCACCGGCUAACUACGUGCCAGCAGCCGCGGUAAUACGUAGGGUGCGAGCGUUAAUCGGAAUUACUGGGCGUAAAGCGUGCGCAGGCGGUUUGUUAAGAUAGGCGUGAAAUCCCCGGGCUCAACCUGGGAACUGCGUUUAUGACUGGCAAGCUAGAGUAUGGCAGAGGGGGGUGGAAUUCCACGUGUAGCAGUGAAAUGCGUAGAGAUGUGGAGGAACACCGAUGGCGAAGGCAGCCCCCUGGGCCAAUACUGACGCUCAUGCACGAAAGCGUGGGUAGCAAACAGGAUUAGAUACCCUGGUAGUCCACGCCCUAAACGAUGUCAACUAGGUGUUGGGAGGGUAAAACCUUUUAGUACCGGAGCUAACGCGUGAAGUUGACCGCCUGGGGAGUACGGCCGCAAGGUUAAAACUCAAAGGAAUUGACGGG
Molecule: ribosomal RNA, 895 nt
Filed under: uncultured bacterium
Lineage: Bacteria
Description: bacterial SSU rRNA
Rfam family: Bacterial small subunit ribosomal RNA
Source: RNAcentral